Molecule: long non-coding RNA, 272 nt
Filed under: Pan troglodytes (chimpanzee)
Lineage: Eukaryota; Metazoa; Chordata; Mammalia; Primates; Hominidae
Description: long non-coding RNA NONPTRT000596
Source: RNAcentral
AACUCUGAACAUCAAGCCCAGCAAUAUGCAUUCCAAUAAACCCUCCAAGUAAUUCUGACGCAGCUAAAGUUUGAGAAACUUUGGCCUAGCCAAUCUAUGGUAGCUGAGUGUUUCUUCAAUAACUAAGUUGGAAGAAAUAGUGACCCAGUACUUGGUUAAAGGAAAUUGUAAUUUCUUUUCAAUAUGAACAUAUUCACUGUAAAAAUGUUUAGUCACAUUUCAAAACCCCGAAUAACUGCCCAAUGUUAAUGACCAAAGAGAGGAGAGUCUGA